CCUACGGGAGGCUGCAGUGAGGAAUAUUGCUCAAUGGCCGGAAGGCUGAACCAGCCAUGCCGCGUGAAGGUCAGUGCCCUAUGGGCGUUAAACUUCUUUUGUGCGGGAGCAAUAAUGGUCACGCUUGGCCAGACGAGAUUAACGUUCGCAUCAGCGUCGGCUUACUCCGGCCCAGCAGCCGCGGUCAUACUGGUGCGGCAAGCGUUAUCGGGAUUUAUUGGGGUUAAAGGGUGCGGAGGCGGGGAGGUAAGGCAGCGGUGAAAUGCCCCCGCUCAACGGGGGGAAGUGCCAUUGAUACUGACUAGCUGGAAUGUGUAUGCGGAGGGAGGAAUGUGAGGUGUAGGGGUGAAAUGCAUAGAUAUCACACAGAACAUCGGUUGCGAAGGCAACUAACGAAUCCACGAUUGACGCUGAUGCACGAAAGCGUGGGUAGCAAACAGGAUUAGAUACCCGUGUAGUC
RNAcentral lists this ribosomal RNA (460 nucleotides) under uncultured bacterium. RNAcentral describes it as "partial 16S ribosomal RNA". It matches the Rfam family "Bacterial small subunit ribosomal RNA", at positions 338 to 795 of the family's 1533-position model. The record is from RNAcentral.